CACAAUGUAUUUUGAUAUUUCUGCUAAUCAAUGACGAUUCUCUCUGACCAAUCGGUGGUCUGCAAUGUUUUAACUCCUUCAAGUAUCGGUUCAGCUCGCUUGGAACCUCGACCGAGGCGAUACCAAAAAAAUACCA
Sander lucioperca (pikeperch) is the source of this 136-nucleotide long non-coding RNA. RefSeq lists it as uncharacterized. The transcript has 4 exons. The record is from RefSeq and is a predicted model, not a curated record. Lineage: Eukaryota; Metazoa; Chordata; Actinopteri; Perciformes; Percidae.